GGGAAAAUAAUGCUGAGACAGUCUGAACUUUUUGUUAGAGUUCAUGAAUUUUUAGGAGCUGUCGAGGCUUUAAUGCUGCUUUGAAAUGGAGAACGGAAGGAAGCAUGGAGAGUUUCCUGUUUGUUCUGCUCGGUUUCAGUUCCAUGAAGAGGUUUCUGCUUUGGGGACCUUCUCCCACCACAGCUUGCAGUUCUGUUUUAGUCAGCUUCUGAAUGUCGAUAACCAAAGAUGUUUACUGUCCUUCCGUGGAAGGAAAAGAACAGAAGAAGGAACUCUUCUGUUUAUUCCUCAGAUCUGUGUGGCAAAGAUCUUUCGGCUGUGUUCUCAAGAUCUGUGUAUCUGUGUGUACUUGGUGCCCAUGAAGAACAGAAGAAGUAUCAGAUUCCUCGGAACUGGAGUUACAAGCUGUUGCGAGCUGGCAUGUGUGUGCUCUGAAUCAAAUCUGGAUCAUCGGCUCCACGAGUGAAAUUUUCAACGAAUCAAUAAACUUUUUAAAGUCAAGUUUAAUUAAAGAAAA
Molecule: long non-coding RNA, 517 nt
Filed under: Mus caroli (Ryukyu mouse)
Lineage: Eukaryota; Metazoa; Chordata; Mammalia; Rodentia; Muridae
Description: lncRNA (MGP_CAROLIEiJ_G0005763.1)
Source: RNAcentral